RNAcentral lists this ribosomal RNA (433 nucleotides) under uncultured bacterium. Its description in RNAcentral is "partial 16S ribosomal RNA". It matches the Rfam family "Bacterial small subunit ribosomal RNA", at positions 29 to 507 of the family's 1533-position model. The record is from RNAcentral.
AACGAACGCUGGCGGCAUGCCUAACACAUGCAAGUCGAACGAGACCUUCGGGUCUAGUGGCGCACGGGUGCGUAACGCGUGGGAAUCUACCCUCAGGUUCGGAAUAACUCAGAGAAAUUUGAGCUAAUACCGGAUGAUGACGUAAGUCCAAAGAUUUAUCGCCUGAGGAUGAGCCCGCGUAGGAUUAGGUAGUUGGUGAGGUAAAGGCUCACCAAGCCGACGAUCCUUAGCUGGUCUGAGAGGAUGAUCAGCGACACUGGGACGGAGACACGGCCCAGACUCCUACGGGAGGCAGCAGUGGGGAAUAUUGGACAAUGGGCGAAAGCCUGAUCCAGCAAUGCCGCGUGAGUGAUGAAGGCCUUAGGGUUGUAAAGCUCGUUUACCCGGGAUGAUAAUGACAGUACCGGGAGAAUAAGCUCCGGCUAACUCCGUG